RNAcentral lists this ribosomal RNA (465 nucleotides) under uncultured bacterium. Its description in RNAcentral is "partial 16S ribosomal RNA". It matches the Rfam family "Bacterial small subunit ribosomal RNA", at positions 28 to 507 of the family's 1533-position model. The record is from RNAcentral.
GACGAACGCUGGCGGCGUGCUUAACACAUGCAAGUCGAACGGUAGCGCUCCAGCUUGCUGGGGUACACGAGUGGCGAACGGGUGAGUAACACGUGGGUGACCUGCCCUGCACUUCGGGGUAGGCCUGGGAAACUGGGCCUAAUACCGGAUCGGACCGCACCGUCGGGGGGAAGUGGGGAGUCUUUGCGGUUUGGGAUGGGGCCGUGGCCUAUGAGCGUGUUGGUCGGGUAAUGGGCUACCAAGGCGGCGGCGGGUAGCCGGCCUGUGGUGUUGGACGGCCACAUUGGUACUGAGACACGGACCAGACUCCUACGGGAGGCAGCAGUGGGGAAUAUGGCACAAUGGGCGGAAGCCUGAUGCAGCGACGCCGCGUGGGGGAUGACGGCCUUCGGGUUGUAAACUCCUUUCACCAUCGACGAAGGGUUUCUGACGGUAGAUGGAGAAGAAGCACCGGCUAACUACGUG